This 253-nucleotide ribosomal RNA is filed under the name uncultured bacterium. RNAcentral's name for it is "partial 16S ribosomal RNA". It matches the Rfam family "Bacterial small subunit ribosomal RNA", at positions 524 to 776 of the family's 1533-position model. The record is from RNAcentral.
UACGAAGGGUGCAAGCGUUACUCGGAAUUACUGGGCGUAAAGCGUGCGUAGGUGGUUUGUUAAGUCUGAUGUGAAAGCCCUGGACUCAACCUGGGAAUUGCAUUGGAUACUGGCAGGCUAGAGUGCGGUAGAGGAUGGCGGAAUUCCCGGUGUAGCAGUGAAAUGCGUAGAGAUCGGGAGGAACAUCUGUGGCGAAGGCGGCCAUCUGGACCAGCACUGACACUGAGGCACGAAAGCGUGGGGAGCAAACAGG